AAGUAAAAGUCGUAACAAGGUCUCCGUAGGUGAACCUGCGGAGGGAUCAUUACACAAAUAUGAAGGCGGGCUGGAAUCUCUCGGGGUUACAGCCUUGCUGAAUUAUUCACCCUUGUCUUUUGCGUACUUCUUGUUUCCUUGGUGGGUUCGCCCACCACUAGGACAAACAUAAACCUUUUGUAAUUGCAAUCAGCGUCAGUAACAAAUUAAUAAUUACAACUUUCAACAACGGAUCUCUUGGUUCUGGCAUCGAUGAAGAACGCAGCGAAAUGCGAUAAGUAGUGUGAAUUGCAGAAUUCAGUGAAUCAUCGAAUCUUUGAACGCACAUUGCGCCCUUUGGUAUUCCAAAGGGCAUGCCUGUUCGAGCGUCAUUUGUACCCUCAAGCUUUGCUUGGUGUUGGGCGUCUUGUCUCUAGCUUUGCUGGAGACUCGCCUUAAAGUAAUUGGCAGCCGGCCUACUGGUUUCGGAGCGCAGCACAAGUCGCACUCUCUAUCAGCAAAGGUCUAGCAUCCAUUAAGCCUUUUUUCAACUUUUGACCUCGGAUCAGGUAGGGAUACCCGCUGAACUUAAGCAUA
Molecule: ribosomal RNA, 576 nt
Filed under: Alternaria arborescens
Lineage: Eukaryota; Fungi; Ascomycota; Dothideomycetes; Pleosporales; Pleosporaceae
Description: eukaryotic LSU rRNA
Rfam family: 5.8S ribosomal RNA (bases 218-371)
Source: RNAcentral